GACAGUGUGCUUUAUGAAAGCACUUUAAUUUUCAGAGGUUUCGGACUUCAGAAUUAUUGCCAAGGGAUUGUGGCCCUGUAUUAUUUCCCCUACUUUGUGGAUAAGAAACUGAGGCACAGAGAGGUUAAGUAGCUGGCCAGUCACACAGUGAGAGAGAGCCAGGUAGGGACCCCCAUUCGUGGGACUCCAGCCACUGCGGGCGCCUCCUUAUGAAUGAAGGUCCCUGAUGCCGAGUUUCUUUAUUUACAGAGCGGGAUUGUAACUCCCGCUUCCUGAAAGACUUGGGGAGAUCAAAUGAAAUAACACAUACGAAACACCUGGUACAAUGGGCCUUCAGUAAAUGGUGCUUCUGGACAUUGGCUACAAGAGCAUCCGGCCGGAAAACCUUAGAGAGGGAAUAUUCUUAGCCAGACACGAGCAUGCGCGGUGGAAAGAUCAGUUAGCAUAGCUCUUAGUUAGACGCACGUUCACAACAGAUAUUUGGUUUUUGGUUUUAAAAUAAGAAAAUAACACUCAAAGUAGGGAUCUCACAAGGAAAGGAAGGAGGAUUUUGUUGCCUGGAUGAUCUGCCUGCUGAGUGACAUUUUAUUUCUGCUUCAUCAGGUGGCAAAGGACCAUUUAAAAAAUGGAGGAACGGUUUCUACAGUUUAUUUCUCCAAUUUUUAGGAUUCUAUCUUGGCAAUUUCCUGGCAGGCUCCCCUCUGUGAUUCACCUGCUUUCUGCCGUCUGCGUGGGUCCUAAGCACAUGCUUCCCCAAAGGUCUGGAACCGGAAAAAGAGGGGACAUGAGCUAUGAAGAUGCCUCUGCACCUUGCUGCCACGUAAGUGACAAACCUGUGGACAUUGAUGUUAAGCCUGGCGGAGCAGGAAGUUUUGCAGGGAACAAGGGUCUGUGAUUGCUUCACUGUGCUCGCCUACCAGCUUGGACGGUCUCCCUCUGGGCAUCUUAAUAUAUCUGAAAUCAGAAUGCGCCUUCCGAUAAAUGACAUCUUACAACUAAUCGGCGGGGUUGUUUCUAUACUUUCUUUUUCCCCCUUUGGAAGUCCUUAAAUAAUGACACAUCUUACAAUGAGUGGUGUCCUUGAUUUAGUAAACUGUGGUAACUGCAAACCAAGUAUUGAUUUGGUUUAAGCGAUUGCAUAUUUCGGAGAGGCCAGCGUGCGUGCACUUGAUCUCCCUGGGCUUAAAGCUAUGAAACUGCGAGUCCUGGAAGGGAACAGGGAAAAUCCGCACGUAGCAGCUGCACGUGCAGCCCCCCCUGCCCCCGACACCUCGUCUUUCCUCGCGCAGUCACCUGCCAUGUAGCAAAGCGGGCACAGGCUCAACCUUUAAUUCCUUAAUGAAGGUUUCUUUGAAAACAAACAGGGUCCUCCGUCUACUUGCAUUUUAACGUCACAAGAAAAUAAAAGCUUUCCCAAAUCCUGUCCCCUCUCUCACCCCACCAGAUCCACUUUUCUGGCUUAAUGCAGGUUGAAAUGAGGUGUUUUCUGUUUUUUCUUUUUUUUCCUGAUGAAAAUAUUAUAGGAAUUAAAAACCAAACCCAUUAAUAUCCUGAUUAGACUCCCCAUGUUAAUUGCAGAUUCUUUCAGGCGACAGAACAGGUCACUGUCUGGGCUGAAUGUGAUCGCGGUGUUUAAUAAGAGCUGCCCGUAGGAAUAGCAGUUUGCAGCGAAGACUUUUGCCACCUGGCAGAUGAAGCUGGGAAGUGAUUUUUCCUUUCUCACGCUUGCGAGAAGGAACAGCAGGUACUGAGCGCUGCCUUUGGGGAAGGGGAGCCAGAUUGGAAAAAGGGAACGAGGGGGCCCGGUUAUUUCUUUCCUUUUUCAACACGCUUCCUGGCAACCUCAGUACGGAUUUUCCUCUUUCCCACUCCUGCCUUCCCAAAAGAAGGUGAUUGAGAGGGUUCUUGCACGCAAACAAACAAGCAAACAAAAAGCAGCAGGAGGCACUGUUUGUAACAGAAGUUUCUGGGCUCCCCAUCCCUGAAAUGCCUUCCUCCUUCAUCCAUGGGGCUGGAGCAGGGGGCAAAAACAAACACCUAGUAUCCACACAGAGAGCACAAAGGGCUGAGUGGGGACUGUGGCAAACUGCAGAAGCCUGGUCCUGUGGUAAGGGACGGAGUCAACUGAGUCUUUGCGUGUUGCACAAGCUCUGUGUUUAGGACAGGGUCUGAGCACCUCUCCUCGCCUACAGAGUACACACGUCCGUCCAAGGAGGUGGGAGUAACUCAGCCCCCAGUGUGCAUCACAACCACAUCAGGGGCUUAGUUAGAGCGCAGGGCUCUGGGCCCCAUCCUUGGGGGUUCUGAUCCAGUCGGUCUCUGGGGAGGCCAAGGGUUUCCUUUUAAACAGGUUGCAGGUGGUGCUGAUGCUGCUUAUUUGGGGGACACACUUGGGGAACUACUGGCCCCCAGCCUGGUCGCCUGGGCUGUCGUACGGCCUCCUAACUGGUCUCCGGGGUCUACCCUGCCCGCUUAGAGCUUGUCUUGCCGCGGGGGUCCCGGUUCACAGCACAGCUGUGCUCGCUCACAUCUCCUGGCUCCCAUCGGGUUCCAGAAGGAACCAAGUACUUCAGUCCUGUCUGCUUCCCUGGCAGACUCACAGUCCGCCCUGGCGUCCAAGAGACAAUCCACGUCUUUCCAUGGCUUCUCCCUGGUCAGUUACUAACUUUCCAUUCAAGCUGCUCUACUAAAUUUUCUCAACCACACUGCUUUAUAAUUCCAGCUUCUCUGAUCAUUUAAA
Long non-coding RNA from Acinonyx jubatus (cheetah), 2740 nucleotides. RefSeq lists it as uncharacterized. NCBI's taxonomy places the organism in Eukaryota, Metazoa, Chordata, Mammalia, Carnivora, Felidae. The record is from RefSeq and is a predicted model, not a curated record. The transcript is spliced from 3 exons.